GGGUAAUUAGCUCAGUUGGUAGAGUAUCUCGCUUACAACGAGGCUGUCAGCGGUUCGAGUCCGUUAUUACCCA
This 73-nucleotide transfer RNA is filed under the name Rickettsiales bacterium. Its description in RNAcentral is "tRNA-Val". It matches the Rfam family "tRNA". From Rfam's summary of the family: Transfer RNA (tRNA) molecules are approximately 80 nucleotides in length. Lineage: Bacteria; Pseudomonadati; Pseudomonadota; Alphaproteobacteria; Rickettsiales. The record is from RNAcentral.